RNAcentral lists this non-coding RNA (242 nucleotides) under Bacillota bacterium. RNAcentral's name for it is "Firmicutes bacterium T-box sequence". It matches the Rfam family "T-box leader". From Rfam's summary of the family: Uncharged tRNA acts as the effector for transcription antitermination of genes in the T-box leader family. T-boxes are found upstream of many aminoacyl-tRNA synthetase genes and some amino acid biosynthetic genes usually in Gram-positive bacteria. The record is from RNAcentral. Lineage: Bacteria; Bacillati; Bacillota.
AUCACAGUGACGAAGGGAAGAAGUACCCUGAUACCCCGUCUCCAGAGAGCUUUCGGUCGGUGCAAGAAAGCAGACGGCGUCAGGCGAAUACAUCCCGGAGCUGCCCUCUGAAACGCGUUUUCGCGCAGUAGGGGUGUGUCGGGUGCGCCCGUUAUCGCGCAGGGGCGUGUCUGCGCUCCGUAAGGCCGCUUCCGCAAGGAACCGGCAAACCAGAGGUGGUACCGCGAUCGUUCGCCCUCUGC